RNAcentral lists this ribosomal RNA (464 nucleotides) under uncultured bacterium. Its description in RNAcentral is "partial 16S ribosomal RNA". It matches the Rfam family "Bacterial small subunit ribosomal RNA", at positions 339 to 795 of the family's 1533-position model. The record is from RNAcentral.
CUACGGGUGGCUCCAGUGGGGAAUAUUGCACAAUGGGCGCAAGCCUGAUGCAGCCAUGCCGCGUGUAUGAAGAAGGCCUUCGGGUUGUAAAGUACUUUCAGCGGGGAGGAAGGGAGUAAAGUUAAUACCUUUGCUCAUUGACGUUACCCGCAGAAGAAGCACCGGCUAACUCCGUGCCGGCAGCCGCGGUAAUACGGUGGGUGCAAGCGUUAAUCGGAAUUACUGGGCGUAAAGCGCACGCAGGCGGUUUGUUAAGUCAGAUGUGAAAUCCCCGGGCUCAACCUGGGAACUGCAUCUGAUACUGGCAAGCUUGAGUCUCGUAGAGGGGGGUAGAAUUCCAGGUGUAGCGGUGAAAUGCGUAGAGAUCUGGAGGAAUACCGGUGGCGAAGGCGGCCCCCUGGACGAAGACUGACGCUCAGGUGCGAAAGCGUGGGGAGCAAACAGGAUUAGAUACCCGUGUAGUC